CAGGCUUAACACAUGCAAGUCGAGGGGCAGCAUGGUCUUAGCUUGCUAAGGCCGAUGGCGACCGGCGCACGGGUGAGUAACACGUAUCCAACCUGCCGUCUACUCUUGGACAGCCUUCUGAAAGGAAGAUUAAUACAAGAUGGCAUCAUGAGUCCGCAUGUUCACAUGAUUAAAGGUAUUCCGGUAGACGAUGGGGAUGCGUUCCAUUAGAUAGUAGGCGGGGUAACGGCCCACCUAGUCUUCGAUGGAUAGGGGUUCUGAGAGGAAGGUCCCCCACAUUGGAACUGAGACACGGUCCAAACUCCUACGGGAGGCAGCAGUGAGGAAUAUUGGUCAAUGGGCGAGAGCCUGAACCAGCCAAGUAGCGUGAAGGAUGACUGCCCUAUGGGUUGUAAACUUCUUUUAUAAAGGAAUAAAGUCGGGUAUGCAUACCCGUUUGCAUGUACUUUAUGAAUAAGGAUCGGCUAACUCCGUGCCAGCAGCCGCGGUAAUACGGAGGAUCCGAGCGUUAUCCGGAUUUAUUGGGUUUAAAGGGAGCGUAGAUGGAUGUUUAAGUCAGUUGUGAAAGUUUGCGGCUCAACCGUAAAAUUGCAGUUGAUACUGGAUAUCUUGAGUGCAGUUGAGGCAGGCGGAAUUCGUGGUGUAGCGGUGAAAUGCUUAGAUAUCACGAAGAACUCCGAUUGCGAAGGCAGCCUGCUAAGCUGCAACUGACAUUGAGGCUCGAAAGUGUGGGUAUCAAACAGGAUUAGAUACCCUGGUAGUCCACACGGUAAACGAUGAAUACUCGCUGUUUGCGAUAUACAGCAAGCGGCCAAGCGAAAGCGUUAAGUAUUCCACCUGGGGAGUACGCCGGCAACGGUGAAACUCAAAGGAAUUGACGGGGGCCCGCACAAGCGGAGGAACAUGUGGUUUAAUUCGAUGAUACGCGAGGAACCUUACCCGGGCUUAAAUUGCAGAUGAAUUACGGUGAAAGCCGUAAGCCGCAAGGCAUCUGUGAAGGUGCUGCAUGGUUGUCGUCAGCUCGUGCCGUGAGGUGUCGGCUUAAGUGCCAUAACGAGCGCAACCCUUGUUGUCAGUUACUAACAGGUUCCGCUGAGGACUCUGACAAGACUGCCAUCGUAAGAUGUGAGGAAGGUGGGGAUGACGUCAAAUCAGCACGGCCCUUACGUCCGGGGCUACACACGUGUUACAAUGGGGGGUACAGAGGGCCGCUACCACGCGAGUGGAUGCCAAUCCCAAAAACCUCUCUCAGUUCGGACUGGAGUCUGCAACCCGACUCCACGAAGCUGGAUUCGCUAGUAAUCGCGCAUCAGCCACGGCGCGGUGAAUACGUUCCCGGGCCUUGUACACACCGCCCGUCAAGCCAUGGGAGCCGGGGGUACCUGAAGUGCGUAACCGCGAGGAGCGCCCUAGGGUAAAACUGGUGACUGGGGCUAAGUCAUAACA
RNAcentral lists this ribosomal RNA (1446 nucleotides) under uncultured organism. Its description in RNAcentral is "16S ribosomal RNA". It matches the Rfam family "Bacterial small subunit ribosomal RNA". The record is from RNAcentral.